Molecule: ribosomal RNA, 525 nt
Filed under: uncultured bacterium
Lineage: Bacteria
Description: partial 16S ribosomal RNA
Rfam family: Bacterial small subunit ribosomal RNA
Source: RNAcentral
UGGGGAAUAUUGCACAAUGGGCGGAAGCCUGAUGCAGCAACGCCGCGUGAGUGAUGAAGGCCUUCGGGUUGUAAAGCUCUGUCUUUUGGGACGAUAAUGACGGUACCAAAGGAGGAAGCCACGGCUAACUACGUGCCAGCAGCCGCGGUAAUACGUAGGUGGCAAGCGUUGUCCGGAUUUUACUGGGCGUAAAGGAUGCGUAGGCGGAUUUUUCAAGUGAGAUGUGAAAUACCCGGGCUUAACUUGGGUGCUGCAUUUCAAACUGGGAAUCUAGAGUGCGGGAGAGGAGAAUGGAAUUCCUAGUGUAGCGGUGAAAUGCGUAGAGAUUAGGAAGAACACCAGUGGCGAAGGCGAUUCUCUGGACCGUAACUGACGCUGAGGCAUGAAAGCGUGGGUAGCAAACAGGAUUAGAUACCCUGGUAGUCCACGCCGUAAACGAUGAGUACUAGGUGUAGGAGGUAUCGACCCCGUUCUGUGCCGCAGUUAACACAAUAAGUACUCCGCCUGGGAAGUACGAUCGCAAGA